This 223-nucleotide ribosomal RNA is filed under the name uncultured bacterium. RNAcentral's name for it is "partial 16S ribosomal RNA". It matches the Rfam family "Bacterial small subunit ribosomal RNA", at positions 524 to 736 of the family's 1533-position model. The record is from RNAcentral.
UACGUAGGGGUGCAAGCGUUGUCCGGAAUUAUUGGGCGUAAAGAGCUCGUAGGCGGUCUGUCACGUCGGCUGUGAAAUCCCCGAGGCUUCAACCUCGGGUCUGCAGUCGAUACGGGCAAACUAGAGUAUUGCAGGGGAGACUGGAAUUCCUGGUGUAGCGGUGAAAAUGCGCAGAUAUCAGGAGGGAACACCCGGGUGGCGAAAGGCGGGGUCUCUGGGGCAA